Molecule: ribosomal RNA, 460 nt
Filed under: uncultured bacterium
Lineage: Bacteria
Description: partial 16S ribosomal RNA
Rfam family: Bacterial small subunit ribosomal RNA
Source: RNAcentral
CCUACGGGAGGCAGCAGUGAGGAAUAUUGGUCAAUGGGCGGAAGCCUGAACCAGCCAAGUAGCGUGCAGGAUGACGGCCCUACGGGUUGUAAACCGCUUUUAUACGGGAAUAACGCGCCUUACGUGUAGGGCUUUGCAUGUACCGUAAGAAUAAGGACCGGCUAAUUCCGUGCCAGCAGCCGCGGUAAUACGGAAGGUCCGGGCGUUAUCCGGAUUUAUUGGGUUUAAAGGGGGCGGAGGCCGCAAGUCAAGCGUGCUGUGAAAUGUCAGGGGUCAACCCGUGCCGAGCCGUGCAAACUGGCGUGCUUGAGUCAGCGGAAAGCAGGCGGAAUUCGUGGUGUAGCGGUGAAAUGCAUAGAUAUGACGCAGAACCCCGAUUGCGAAGGCAGCUUGCUGCAGCGGAACUGACGCUGAUGCUCGAAAGCGCGGGUAUCGAACAGGAUUAGAUACCCGAGUAGUC